GAUGAACGCUGGCGGCGUGCCUAAUACAUGCAAGUCGAGCGAACGGACGAGAAGCUUGCUUUUCUGAUGUUAGCGGCGGACGGGUGAGUAACACGUGGAUAACCUACCUAUAAGACUGGGAUAACUUCGGGAAACCGGAGCUAAUACCGGAUAAUAUUUUGAACCGCAUGGUUCAAAAGUGAAAGACGGUCUUGCUGUCACUUAUAGAUGGAUCCGCGCUGCAUUAGCUAGUUGGUAAGGUAACGGCUUACCAAGGCAACGAUGCAUAGCCGACCUGAGAGGGUGAUCGGCCACCCUGGAACUGAGACACGGUCCAGACUCCUACGGGAGGCAGCAGUAGGGAAUCUUCCGCAAUGGGCGAAAGCCUGACGGAGCAACGCCGCGUGAGUGAUGAAGGUCUUCGGAUCGUAAAACUCUGUUAUUAGGGAAGAACAUAUGUGUAAGUAACUGUGCACAUCUUGACGGUACCUAAUCAGAAAGCCACGGCUAACUACGUG
RNAcentral lists this ribosomal RNA (497 nucleotides) under uncultured bacterium. Its description in RNAcentral is "partial 16S ribosomal RNA". It matches the Rfam family "Bacterial small subunit ribosomal RNA", at positions 28 to 507 of the family's 1533-position model. The record is from RNAcentral.